AGUAUAUAUUCCAGAAAGUUAAAUAUAUAUAUACAGUAUAUAGACUGUACGAUUGAUGACAAUCCGAAACAAUAAGCCAAUUUCUUCAGCAAAAUCUGAUGAAGUCAAUCCGAAUAAACUUACAAUCCACUCGCACUUUUCCGGAAGGCUUCACUUAAUUCUGUUACCUCAGGGGUUUGUGGGAAUGCUGACAGUCCAAUCCCCUGAAUGCACACUUGGGAAUAAGCUUAGAUUCUAUAUACUAGGUCUUGUACUAUUACAUGGAUAGUUUUGCUUGUUCUCCCAAGAGACUUAACCCGCAGCAACUCUCAAGUGACAAUCUCUGACAUCCUGGAAAUUUUUCUUGAGAGAAUUGAUGAAUUUUUCAACUAUUGAAUCUAAUCUUUUAACUAUAGAUGGUCCCUUAGAAAAGUGUUAUGAAAAGAUUCUUUUAGAAGUUGUUGAAUGGGUGUAGAUUUUCUUAUUCCUAUCUUGAAUAUAAAAUUCAAUUACUG
RNAcentral lists this long non-coding RNA (494 nucleotides) under Androctonus crassicauda. Lineage: Eukaryota; Metazoa; Arthropoda; Arachnida; Scorpiones; Buthidae. The record is from RNAcentral.